This 1097-nucleotide long non-coding RNA is filed under the name Homo sapiens (human). RNAcentral describes it as "non-protein coding PURPL:45". The record is from RNAcentral. Lineage: Eukaryota; Metazoa; Chordata; Mammalia; Primates; Hominidae.
AAUGUGUGAGGUGGUGCUAUGUAGCAGGAACCCCUCUUGCUUUGCAAAUAGUUUUUUGUUUGUUUUCCUUUUUGCCCAAUAGAGCCCUGCUCUACUGACCCUUCAAUGUGCCCGUGUGCCUAAAUAUUCCUGGUCGUGUGAAAAGAACCCAGGUAUUAGCUGAACUAAGGAGCACAAUUCUGCAACAUUUUGGCACCCAAACACGGGGCUUGAGAAAUGAAUGCAAUUGGAGAAACUGGUUGUUUUACCAGGCGUUGAUUGGAAAUGUGUGCUUCCCUUUAAGCAGUCAAGCUCAACUUGCAGAACUGAUGGGAACCCCUUGGGAAAACUGGCCUCAAAUGUUUGUCUACACAGUCCACAUACAGGGUUCUUAACCUGCGAUGAGGGAAACUUCCCAGGGCUUGUCUGGGUAUGCCCACAGUGGACUGGAGCCCAAAAUGCACACUGGAGGAAGUGGAUGGAGCCACGUGGAUGUCAUGCCUUAUGCAGGGGAGGAGCCUGCUCUCUUCAGCUCCUGUGGUAAUGUGGGAAUCGAUCUGUGAGCAUAUUUAACUAUCCGGCUAUUUUGGAGAUUGAAAAAAGAAGACCUGAUUUAUCAUGUGCAAUAUCUCACACAUCUGUCAUUUCUAUUCUACCGCAAUUCGAUGGAGUCUUGUUCUGUGGUCCAGGCUAGAGGGCAGUGGCAUGAUCUCGGCUCACUACAAGCUCUGCCUCCCGGGUUCACGCCAUUCUCCUGCCUCAGCCUCCUGAGUAGCUGGGACUACAGGCGCCCGCCACCACGCCUGGCUAAUUUUUUGUAUAUUUACUAGAGAUGGCUAGUGUUAGCCAAGAUGGUCUCGAUCUCCUGACCUCGUGAUCUGCCCACCUCAGCCUGCCAAAGUGCUGGGAUUACUGGCGUGAGCCACCGUGCCUGGCCAGCAUCCUCUAAUUAUUAUUCAUAGUUUGUGAAUUUAGGCCUACGUGAAUAAUAAUAUAAUAUUUACUAUGAUGUUACUAUCUACCAACCUUAUUUUUCUUUUCUAUAAAAUAGGAGCCAAAAUAAUAUUUAUGUCAUACCUUAUGAAGUUAAAAUAAAAUAUAACGAAUGAGGGGCUUAA